Molecule: long non-coding RNA, 680 nt
Organism: Homo sapiens (human)
Lineage: Eukaryota; Metazoa; Chordata; Mammalia; Primates; Hominidae
Exons: 5
Source: RefSeq, a predicted model, not a curated record
CUAUAUUUUUUGCCCUGGGCUUUGAGAUACUGCUUCAACUUGAGCUUUUGGGGAACUAAUUAGUGUUUCAACAGCACAGCAGAGACAGCAUUUCACAAAGCAAAACUGCUCCCUAAUCUCAGAUAUUUGCCUGCCCAAUUAGCUGGAGGCUCCUUGAUGGCAGAGACUGCCUCCUUGGUAUCCCCAGCACACAGCACAGAACCUGGCACAUACUGUUGCCUCCACGUACCUGAAAUGCCAGUGCUCCAGCUGUCUUGAUUGAGAGGCCUAGUUUGCAAGAAAACAAGACAAAAUACUUUGCUGCCUUAAUUCCAGUGGGAAUUUAAUUUAAUUAGCAUCUGAUUUACACAAUGCACUUCUGACAGCUGUGUUUGUGGAGUCUCUGUGGAAGCAAGAAAUUACCAUCCAUUGAAAUCAUCAUCAAAGCUUAUUUAUCAUCCUGCCAUGUCUUUCCAGCCUUCAGCCUUGGGAACUUCUGUGUGUUUAUUGCACAUUCAUGAAGGUUACAGUAAAUAAUACUCAACAACCCCGAGAGCACAUCACAGUAUGGAGAAAACAUAAGAUCAAAGAAGCAUGCAACACUGAGCUAUCACACGGAGAACACCUGUCUGGGAAGCCACCUAAACUGACAGUGGACUUCUCAAGAGAAAGAAAUAAACUUUCUUGUUUUAGGACACUGA